RNAcentral lists this ribosomal RNA (290 nucleotides) under uncultured bacterium. RNAcentral describes it as "partial 16S ribosomal RNA". It matches the Rfam family "Bacterial small subunit ribosomal RNA", at positions 28 to 313 of the family's 1533-position model. The record is from RNAcentral.
GACGAACGCUGGCGGCGUGCUUAAUACAUGCAAGUCAACUUGACUUUAGAUAGCAAUAUCGAAAAGUAGGGUGGCGCACGGGUGCGUAACGCGUAGGUAAUCUGCCCUGAGGUCUGACAUAACCCGUCGAAAGGCGGGCUAACAUCAGAUGAUAUAUAAUCACGACAUCGUGGAAAAUAUCAAAUCUUCGGAGCCUUGGGAUGAGCCUGCGUCUGGAUUAGGUAGUUGGCGGAGUAAUAGCCCACCAAGCCUACGAUCAGUAGCUGGUCUGAGAGGAUGAUCAGCCACAC